GACGAACGCUGGCGGCGUGCUUAACACAUGCAAGUCAAACGGAAAGGCCCUGCUUUUGUGGGGUGCUCGAGUGGCGAACGGGUGUGUAACACGUGAGUAACCUGCCCCAGCCAUUGGGAUAACUUCAGAACACUGGGGAUAAUACCGGAUAGGAGCUACUGCUGCUCGGAGGGGGAUGAAAAGUUUCGGCGGUUGGGGAUGGCUUCGCGGCUUAUCAGCUUGUUGGUGGGGUAGUGGCUUACCAAGGCUUUGACGGGUAGCCGGCCUGAGAGGGUGACCGGCCACAUGGGGACUGAGAUACGGCCCAGACUCCUACGGGAGGCAGCAGUGGGAAUAUUGCACAAUGGGCGGAAGCCUGAGGCAGCAAAGUCGCGUGCGGGAUGAGAGGCUUCUGGGUGUGUACCGCGUUCGCCUGUGACGAAGCGUGAGUGACGGUAAUGGGUAAAGAAGAACCGGCUAACUACGUG
Molecule: ribosomal RNA, 467 nt
Filed under: uncultured bacterium
Lineage: Bacteria
Description: partial 16S ribosomal RNA
Rfam family: Bacterial small subunit ribosomal RNA
Source: RNAcentral